AGUCACUGACAUUAGACUACCCGGGUACGUCCCAGCCGUAAACUAUGCGCGUUAGGUGUAUCGGUGACCACGAGUUACCGAGGUGCCGAAGGGAAACCGUGAAACGUGCCGCCUGGGAAGUACGGUCGCAAGGCUGAAACUUAAAGGAAUUGGCGGGGGAGCACCACAACAGGUGGAGCCUGCGGUUUAAUUGGACUCAACGCCGGGAAGCUCACCGGAUAGGACAGCAGAAUGAUUGCCGGGCUGAAGACCCUGCAUGACUAGCUG
RNAcentral lists this ribosomal RNA (267 nucleotides) under uncultured archaeon. RNAcentral describes it as "partial 16S ribosomal RNA". It matches the Rfam family "Archaeal small subunit ribosomal RNA", at positions 719 to 982 of the family's 1478-position model. The record is from RNAcentral.